Long non-coding RNA from Camponotus floridanus (Florida carpenter ant), 728 nucleotides. RefSeq lists it as uncharacterized. NCBI's taxonomy places the organism in Eukaryota, Metazoa, Arthropoda, Insecta, Hymenoptera, Formicidae. The transcript has 4 exons. The record is from RefSeq and is a predicted model, not a curated record.
CAUAUAAGGCCGCAGCACCACAGAUUAAUAGACAGAUAGCCAAUGACCCGGGUAAAGACUAGACCGGUACUUUCUCACUGAUUUCAGCGCCAUACCGUAGUAGUGGCCAAUGCAAUAACUACUAACUACGUUCUUAGGAUGAAACAGCGAGAUGAGUUAGUCUGACAAAGACUAACAAUCCAUCGCUCUGACUUUGUCUCACCAACGAUGAGCGUCUCGUGGACCCGUGCGGCGGCAAGCAUGAGAUAUCACCUUUCGCGUUUUUAUACUCGGCAAGCGGCAAAUCACAAACGAUAAUAAAAGUAUGUGUAUUUUUGUAUUUACCAGUUUAUUCGAGAAUGUGAAACGAUUCGCAUCAGCCAGCAGAAGAAAUUUUGUAGAUUAGUUAGAAGUUGAAAUGGACAAAGAACAAAUAAAAAGAAAGUUAGAAGAGAUCAUGGAAAAAGAAGAAAAAAUAAAAAAAAGAAGAAAAGAAUUUGAGAAAAUGUUGGAAGAAAAUAAUACUGAUGAGGGAGCAGAUAACGAUGAAAAUAUUAUAUGCAGAGAAACAGCAGCAGGAUCCAUCAUCCCACAUGCAGCGUCGGGCUGGUGUAAGGCGCGCCGAACGUGAUGAAAAAUAUAAAUGGUCUGCACGCAGAGAGAGAGGAAGAAUGGAGAGCAGAGGAGGAAGAAGUUCGAGAAGAAGAAGCAGAUCUUUUAGUAAAGGAGGAGCAGGAAGAGGAAGAGGC